Molecule: long non-coding RNA, 1315 nt
Organism: Pyrus x bretschneideri (Chinese white pear)
Lineage: Eukaryota; Viridiplantae; Streptophyta; Magnoliopsida; Rosales; Rosaceae
Exons: 5
Source: RefSeq, a predicted model, not a curated record
UUUUUUUUUUUUUUUCACUGCUGGAUACCAUACCCAAACUCUCUCUUACUCGAUCUCUCUCUUCCCUCUCGCUCAUAUCGCCCUCUCUCUCCCUCUCUCUCUCGGUCUCUCUCUUCCCAAGUUUGGACAAAAUUUUCUUUUCCCAUAGCCUUCCUCCUCAUCCUCACCCGACUGCACCCUACCAGCAGCUAUAGACCCAGGCAUCCAUGGACCGGAGAACGGGGCAAUUAAGUUUACUCUUCAACCAUGCUCCUAAUGCCAUAGUUAUGUUCUAAGAAUUAAGGUCUAAAAAUCAAGCAGGAAGAAAAAGGCUAUCAGUAUCACAUGGUUAAAAGCAGUACAGCGCACUGAACAACGAUACUACCUCAAAAUUAGUUCAGUAGUGGUCAUGGCCUCGCUUUUGCUGGUGGUGGACUGAAACUCGGGACACAAGAUCAAACUUUUUCCCUUUCUAUGAUCACUCGUCGUCGGAGUGUGACAUGCGCCUAUCACAUUAUCAGCAUCUACCGUUCCAAGAAUGAGUGCUCCAUUGACUGGGGAGCCUACACCCUUUACUGAGGCUACUCCUACGACAUCCUAGGUGGCUGCAUCAUUGACGUCAUUAGUAUUGGUUCAGCCACUCAGUGCACAGCGGUCUCACCGGCACCACGGCGAUCCGGAGCCUUCUGAUCAUCGACAGCAUUAGUUUCUAAAAUUUUCUUAAUGUUUUUUUUUUCUUCAGGAAGGCUCUAAGUUCGCAGAGAUUUGCAUGUUCAAUGACGUUUACGUUCGACCCGGUAAUGAGACCAUUGAGCACCUUCAUGCUGCUAUGGUGGAAAAGCGCACCGUUGUUCUCUAAGAAGAAGCAUUGUAACUUCCCUCGGAGACCUUGAUCAAGGACGUCACUGUACCCGAGGAUACAGGUCUUUAGAUCCUGACUGAGGUCUUGGAUCAGAAGCUCAGUCAUCGUCAUGGCAAGUUUGUUCGAUGUAUGGGGAAGGCGCAGGUUCGUGAGACAGGUGCCUCCUCUUCCAGAUCAACCAUAGGGCAAGUCAACGCCCUGAAGGAGGAAAUGGCAACCCUAAAAGGUUAGCUUGUAGCCCAGGGCAAGUAGAUGAGUAUGAUUGUAUAUGCCUUACAGAUGUCCGAUCUCCAAAUCUCGAUGUCAGCACCUGAUCUUGCUCCACCUUCGACCUCCUAGCCACUUCGCCCAGCCAAUACCCAGUAGCCUGAUGUAUCAAACCUAGAUGACUACUUGUAGUUUUUUCUUUUAUGUUCGGACAUCUUGUAUGUACAUUUUCAUAUAUUUUAUAAUUAAAUAUUUUUUCUUGGUUUA